RNAcentral lists this ribosomal RNA (632 nucleotides) under Escherichia coli. RNAcentral describes it as "partial 23S ribosomal RNA". It matches the Rfam family "Bacterial large subunit ribosomal RNA", at positions 2198 to 2834 of the family's 2925-position model. Lineage: Bacteria; Pseudomonadati; Pseudomonadota; Gammaproteobacteria; Enterobacterales; Enterobacteriaceae. The record is from RNAcentral.
UACCACCCUUUAAUGUUUGAUGUUCUAACGUUGGCCCGUAAUCCGGGUUGCGGACAGUGUCUGGUGGGUAGUUUGACUGGGGCGGUCUCCUCCUAAAGAGUAACGGAGGAGCACGAAGGUUGGCUAAUCCUGGUCGGACAUCAGGAGGUUAGUGCAAUGGCAUAAGCCAGCUUGACUGCGAGCGUGACGGCGCGAGCAGGUGCGAAAGCAGGUCAUAGUGAUCCGGUGGUUCUGAAUGGAAGGGCCAUCGCUCAACGGAUAAAAGGUACUCCGGGGAUAACAGGCUGAUACCGCCCAAGAGUUCAUAUCGACGGCGGUGUUUGGCACCUCGAUGUCGGCUCAUCACAUCCUGGGGCUGAAGUAGGUCCCAAGGGUAUGGCUGUUCGCCAUUUAAAGUGGUACGCGAGCUGGGUUUAGAACGUCGUGAGACAGUUCGGUCCCUAUCUGCCGUGGGCGCUGGAGAACUGAGGGGGGCUGCUCCUAGUACGAGAGGACCGGAGUGGACGCAUCACUGGUGUUCGGGUUGUCAUGCCAAUGGCACUGCCCGGUAGCUAAAUGCGGAAGAGAUAAGUGCUGAAAGCAUCUAAGCACGAAACUUGCCCCGAGAUGAGUUCUCCCUGACUCCUUGAGGG